CCGCUUCCCAGCCCGGGUCAGCCCGGCCCCCCAUUACCGCAGCCUCUGAAAUCAUUGUUGUUGACGUCCCAGUCAAGGCUAUGGCGAUUAGAACUGCAAUACCCCAGGAUGGCCCCGUGAGACAAGUGAGGGCAAGGCUUUGGAAUCACUUCACCUGUCCCUUAUUCAUUGGGCAGGCAGGAAGCAGGGAGACCCGUUUGGGUCCUUUCAGCUCUUUUAACUGCUGGACUGGUGACCCCGGCGCUCCUGCACCACAUUUCCCGAGCUGGCCCGCCUCCAGACACCUGUUAAUUAUGUGUCCUCCUGGAAGAGAGAGAUCACAGGCCCUGCCCCCCCCCCCCCCCCUGAGGCCAUAUUCCCGCCACAGUGACGGUCGCCCUCCAUCAGCACACCUGGGAGGUGACAAAAAGUCACGUCUGCUCUCGAGCCCCCUGUGUUUCCAUGGCGACUCGAGGACCAUGCAGCCAAGGGAGAGACAGCUUCUACCGUGUAUUUGUGUGUGUGUGCGUGUGCGUGUGUCUA
Paramormyrops kingsleyae is the source of this 522-nucleotide non-coding RNA. The record is from RefSeq and is a predicted model, not a curated record. Lineage: Eukaryota; Metazoa; Chordata; Actinopteri; Osteoglossiformes; Mormyridae.